GAUGAACGCUGGCGGCGUGCCUAAUACAUGCAAGUCGAGCGAACAGACGAGGAGCUUGCUCCUCUGACGUUAGCGGCGGACGGGUGAGUAACACGUGGAUAACCUACCUAUAAGACUGGGAUAACUUCGGGAAACCGGAGCUAAUACCGGAUAAUAUAUUGAACCGCAUGGUUCAAUAGUGAAAGACGGUUUUGCUGUCACUUAUAGAUGGAUCCGCGCCGCAUUAGCUAGUUGGUAAGGUAACGGCUUACCAAGGCAACGAUGCGUAGCCGACCUGAGAGGGUGAGCGGACACAGGGGAACUGAGACGCGGCACAGACUCCUACGAGAGGCAGCAGUAGAGAAUCGUCCGAAAUGGGCGAGAGUCUGACAGAGCAACGGCGCGUGAGAGAUGAAGGUCUGCGGAGCGUAAAACUCUGUUAAGAGGGAAAAACAAAUGUGUAAGUAAAUAUGCACGUCGAGACGGCACAUAAACAGAAAGCCACGGCUAACUACG
RNAcentral lists this ribosomal RNA (495 nucleotides) under uncultured bacterium. Its description in RNAcentral is "partial 16S ribosomal RNA". It matches the Rfam family "Bacterial small subunit ribosomal RNA", at positions 28 to 505 of the family's 1533-position model. The record is from RNAcentral.